CCUAUUCUUACCUUCUUUGAUGUUGGAACGGCUACUUUAGCUAGACACCCCCACACUCGUAAAUAUUUAUAGGAAGAUUUUCUUUCUUUCCAUAACUCAUAAGGAGUUUUUUCCAUUUUCUUUUGGGGCACCUUAUUUAAAAUGUAAUUUGCUGAUAACACAGCUUCCCCCCACAUGUUCUGAGGUAACCCAGAACUUACUAGCAUUGCAUUCAUCAUUUCCUUUAAAGUACGAUUUUUCUGUUCAAUAACACCAUUUUGUUGCGGUGAAUAAGGUGCGGUGGUUUCAUGUAUGAUUCCGUGUUGUGCACAGAAUUCCGUAAAUUGUGUUUCAUACUCACCACCUCGAUUGCUUCUUAACACUUUAAUUUUCUUAUUAAGUUGAGUUUCAACUUCACUCUUAUAGAGAACAAUUUUCUCUAUAGCUCCAUCUUUACUUUUUAGCAUAUACACAUAACAAUAUUUGGUACUAUCGUCGACACAAGUAAUGAUAUAUUUGUUAUCACAUCUUGUUUGUACGAGCUUUAAAUCACAUAUGUCGCUGUGAAUUAAAUCAAGUGGUUAUGUGUUCUGUUCAAUUCAUUUAAACGAUGAUCUUGUCAUUUUGUUUUAACACAAGUUUCACACUUAUGUUUUGAAUCGAUGUGAAAUUUGGGUAUGGAAUUCAAGUUAACUAGUCUUCAUAAAGUAUCAUAGUUAACAUGUCCUAAUCUACCAUGCCACAAAUUGGAAGACUCAAGUCAUUUUUGGUUUAACAACCAUUACAUUCAGCUUAAACAUAUCGUCGAAAACAUAUCCUUUUCCAACAAAUAUUUCACUUUUUGACAAAAUAACUUUGUUUGACUCAAAUACAAUGCGAAAACCAUGCUUAUUCAAAAGCAACUGGAACACUAGGUUCUUGCGAAUUUCUGGCACAUAUAGCACAUUGUUGAGAGUCGGCUCUUUUCCCGAGGUCAUUUUCAGAACCGCCUUUCCUUGUCCCUUGAUUUCAGAAGUUGCUGAAUUUGUCAUGAACUUCUCCCCAUUCUCAACUACCUCAAACGCAACAAACAGCUCCUUAUCAAAACACACAUACCUCGUAGCACCAGUGUCAAUCCAUCACUCCUUAGGAUUUGAACCCACCAUGUUCACUUCAGAAAUGACAGCUGAGAGAUUCAGUUCCGACACAUCUUGUGCCAUGUGGUCAACCACAUUUGCUUCUUUCUUCUUCUUUGACAAUCUGCACUCUGAAGACUUAUGGCCCACUUUGUCAUAAUUGAAGCAUUUUCCUUGAAAUUACUUCUUAGAAAUUUCACCUUUCGAUCCUUGCUUGAUCCUUUUGCCACCGGAUGGUCCAGACUUGUUUUUAUAGUUCUUACUACUUCGAUCAUACUCCACAACAUUAGCUUUAGCAGCACCAGGAUUGAACCACUUUUUUCCGGAACUUUACUCUUGUUAUCUUCUUCAAUUUGAAGUCUAACAAUUAGUUCUUCGACGUUCAUUUCCUUUCGCACGUGCUUCAAAUAAUUCUUGAAAUUUUUCCUUACCGAAGAGGGGGGAAUUUUUCAAUAAUUGCAGCCACUUGAAAUGUUUCACUCAAAAUUAUCCAUUCAGCAUGAAUUUCAUGAAGAAUCACUUGGAGUUCUUGCACUUGAUUGAUAACUGUUUUGAAGUCCACCAUUUUAUAAUCUAAGAAUCUGCUAAAAAUGAACUUUUUAGCCCCGACAUCCUCGAUUUUAUAUUUUCAGUCCAAAAACUCCCAUAACUCUUUAACAGUUUUCAUAGAACUAUACACAUUGUAUAGCGUGCCUGCUAAACUAUUCAUAAUGUAGUUUUGGCACAAAAAAUUCGAAUGGUUCCAAGCAUCAAGUGCACGGAUUGCUUUAACAUCUCCCUCACCCUCAUUGAGUUUUGGAGCAGUCUCGGUCAAGAAUCUCAUAAAAUUCAAAGUGGUCAGAUAAAAUAACAUUUUCUGCUACCACCUUUUGAAAUUAUAGCCAUUGAAUUUCUUCGAUUUUUCGCCAUGAUUAACCAGAACAUUAACGGUAUGAUCAGUUGUUGGAGCCACUGUUUGACUCACAACAUGACUUGAUAAUUUAACCACGGUCUGAGCCACAACAGAGCUUGGCCCUUGAGCCACAGCUGAGCCCAUAGCCUGAUUUUCAGUAUGCACACUUUGGGUCACGUCCAUGUUGGUCGAUUCGGUUGCCAUUUCUGAAAAUCAAACAAAAAAAAUUAGUUUUCAAAAUUAACAAUAUAAGAAACCAAUUUUUUUCUUUACGAUUCUGUUUUAAAUUUGUUGGAAUAUAGUGGUGUUAAUGAAAUUGGAUUAUCGCAUACCAUAUAUGAAGUUUAGAUACCGAUUUUAAGCAUACCAUAUAUGCAGCUUACCGUAUUUACAGGAAGCUUACCGUAUACCGUAUUUGCAGGCAACUUACCUUAUUUGCAACUUACUGUAUUUGACAGCUCACCGUAUAUGGCAGUGCAGCUCAUCGUAUAUGGCAAUGAAGCUCACCGUAUAUGCAUAAAAUUAACACAAACUAUUUUUAUUAAAAUAACACAAAUUUUUUUUCAACAGAAAAAUCGUAUAUGUAAUAUACAUACAUACAUACAUAUAUAUAUACACACACACCAAAGAGAGAGGGGGUCCUGAAAAAAGGUUAGUAUUUCAAGGAUUAUAAGAAUAAGAAGGUUAUAA
Molecule: long non-coding RNA, 2676 nt
Filed under: Olea europaea subsp. europaea
Lineage: Eukaryota; Viridiplantae; Streptophyta; Magnoliopsida; Lamiales; Oleaceae
Source: RNAcentral